CUGCAGCUGAAAGACAUGAAAGAACAGACGUGACGAGAUGCUGGGGACGGAGCAGCGGUCGCAGCGCUGUGAGGAAGGGCGGUACCCUCUCUGUGAAGGUGUCCAGUUUGUUGUCCAGGGUCAAAUGUAAACACCCACUCAGUCUGCUAUUAAGAGGUGCUGAAGCUUCUGCAGCACAGAGGUUGGUUAGAGGACGUUUGUUCAAAAGCAACACGACUUCAUCUGGAUGCAGGUCUGGAGUUGGUGUGUGAGAGAGUUCAGCAUCCUGACAGCCUGAUGGAUGAAGCUGUCUCUCCAUCUCAAACAGCUCUAACUACAUGCUUUAGCAAAGAGGAAACUUUGAAGCCUGAUCUUAAAAGCAGAGUUGGUUUCUCACCCCAUCAGCCUUCA
Haplochromis burtoni (Burton's mouthbrooder) is the source of this 390-nucleotide long non-coding RNA. RefSeq lists it as uncharacterized. Lineage: Eukaryota; Metazoa; Chordata; Actinopteri; Cichliformes; Cichlidae. The transcript has 3 exons. The record is from RefSeq and is a predicted model, not a curated record.